UUAAAAAAACGAAGGGUGAACCUCAUGAUCAUGGUUCUUUUUUUAAGGUCACUUCUGUUUUUAAAUGCUUCUGCUAUUUGAACAUUGCCUUGAACCUUUCUGCUUCUCGUUCAGUUGUGCGACAGAAAAAAAACGUAAACUGUCACACUGUACUUGUCAGGGAGGGAAUAGAAACAAGAUGGGUGAUAAACAAAGAAAAACUACAGACGAGAUGCUGUGUUUCUUCGUGGAGGCCGCUUGGUGGAGGACAAAGGUGCCAGUCACGCUGUUGCACCUGGUGAUGAUGGCGAGGUGGGGCGGGGCCAUGCAGGCGCCCAUGAACAGGACCACGUUCUCGUGCCUGGUCUGCCUGUAGUUCAUCACCUCCUUCUUGAAGAGCUUCAGGUGAUCCUGGUUGUUGCCGUCGACCUCCAGCAGGCGAAUGGCCACCUCGCCGUGCCAGCGGCCCUUAUGCACCUUCCCCCAGCGACCCUGCGCAUCCACAAAGUCAGCCAUGUUGGACCCUAACAUUGACAUUUUGAUUUUGUCGACACAUCCUCCGUCUUCACCUUGCCAAUAAGCUCCCCCAGCUGCAGCUGCUCAUACGGGAUGUCCCACUCCUGCAGGUAGAUGCUGGUCUGGCUGGCUUUACGAGAGAUCUGGCCCCUCCAGCGGCCGGCGGCCGCACGGCGGCAUAUGGAAGAGGGCAGGUCCUCGAGCCCGUCCUCAUCACACUCCUCGGUGGGAUAGCUCUUUUUGCUGCUGUACUGGUCAGCUGUUUCCUCAUCCCCGACUGGGUAGUCUUCCUCUGCCCCCUCCUCCUGAGACAUAGCAGAAUAAAGGAAAUGAACACGGAGAUUUAAUUGUUUGAUUAGUUUUAAGUUAAACUCCGGAAGAGCCGUCAGAGGCAAAAAUUAGGGUUGGGUGUCCAAGGACACAUUAGCGUGCUGCCUGGGGGAAGCUGGGAUCGAACCACCGACCUUUGGGACGGCCGACUCUAACUCCUGUGCCACAGCCGCUCAAACAGGGAAAGUGAAGAAAGAUUUUUUUCAUCUGUAAAAACAGGUGAUUUUUGGGGCAGCAACAGUUAUUGGAUAAACUUUGGAUUCGUUUUUGAAUACUUAAUUAAUCACCAACUAUUUUGUUAAUCGAUUAAUCGGCUCCAGUCGUUUUGGAUGGGGAAAAAAAGUCUCUGAUUUCAGCUUCUUUAACGUGAAUAUGUUCUGGAUUUAGUAUUUCAGAUGACCGUAAACACGAUCGACAUUUUUCACCAUUUAUGGACCAAACUACUAAAAAAUAAUUGGCAGAUUAAUCGAUAAUGAAAAUAAUCAUUAGUUGCAGCUCUACUCAUUUUGCUCCAUCCCCUAAUCAGCUGUUUUUUUGUGAAAAAUCUGGAGCCCACAUGUAUGAUGCACCGAUCAGAAUAUAAAAAUAUACAGCUUGCAUAGUUCUUCAUAUAAUACAUUUGUAAUUGCAUGCUAAAAGGACUAUUACCCAUUUCACCCAGGGUUGUAAGAGAGAGACAAAAACACUACAAAGUUCUUCCGACUUCCUCUAAUGACAAAUUAUGUAACUGCUACAAAAGGGAACAGAAGGCCCUCUACAGUAAACUGGUAGAGUGUGAAACCGCACAACUCCUGUAUACAGCACAGGCAAGUGGGAUUUGUGUGACAGAGUAAAUCUGUAGACACUCACCCCUCCUGGUUCUGCAGCCGGUAGCUGUGUGUCAGUGGGGCCCACCUGGGACACACUGAAAGAAAAACACGCAAGAAUUAGCAACCGACAAAAUCAUUACGUUUGUGGAAGAAUUAUUACUGUGUGUAUACGUUUAAACACAUUACACAAUAGGCUGACUGACGAAAAGUGACUGAACCCUUUGGAAAUAUCAGAAUUCAUGUAUAAAUCUGGCAUCAAUUAAAGCUCAUUGCGAGUGCUGCAGUCUGUGUUAGAGUUGAAUUUAGCUCUUAUUUCAAAUAAUAUUCUAUACCGAUUUGUUUCUUAAUAUGUUUGAGGCUACUUGAUAUAAAGGAUUUGCCUAUUACGAUGUGUUAUGAUAGCUUAAUGGAUUAUUAGGUAAACGGAAUGACCUCAUUUAAAAAAAUGUUAACAGUUUAAAAACAACUUACUUCUAUUACAUCAUACAGCAUUUACAUCUACCAAAAUGUGUCAUUCAAAUUGUGUACCAUUGUAUAAAAUCAAGCUGAAACAUC
Molecule: long non-coding RNA, 2189 nt
Organism: Scophthalmus maximus (turbot)
Lineage: Eukaryota; Metazoa; Chordata; Actinopteri; Pleuronectiformes; Scophthalmidae
Exons: 2
Source: RefSeq, a predicted model, not a curated record